GGGGAUGACGUCAAGUCAUCAUGGCCCUUACGACCAGGGCUACACACGUGCUACAAUGGCGCAUACAAAGAGAAGCGACCUCGCGAGAGCAAGCGGACCUCAUAAAGUGCGUCGUAGUCCGGAUUGGAGUCUGCAACUCGACUCCAUGAAGUCGGAAUCGCUAGUAAUCGUGGAUCAGAAUGCCACGGUGAAUACGUUCCCGGGCCUUGUACACACCGCCCGUCACACCAUGGGAGUGGGUUGCAAAAGAAGUAGGUAGCUUAACCUUCGGGAGGGCGCUUACCACUUUGUGAUUCAUGACUGGGGUGAAGUCGU
This 315-nucleotide ribosomal RNA is filed under the name Escherichia coli. RNAcentral describes it as "bacterial SSU rRNA". It matches the Rfam family "Bacterial small subunit ribosomal RNA", at positions 1175 to 1489 of the family's 1533-position model. Lineage: Bacteria; Pseudomonadati; Pseudomonadota; Gammaproteobacteria; Enterobacterales; Enterobacteriaceae. The record is from RNAcentral.